UGCAGGCGGUUUGUUAAGUCAGAUGUGAAAGCCCGGGGCUCAACCUCGGAACCGCAUUUGAAACUGGCAGGCUAGAGUCUUGUAGAGGGGGGUAGAAUUUCAGGUGUAGCGGUGAAAUGCGUAGAGAUCUGAAGGAAUACCAGUGGCGAAGGCGGCCCCCUGGACAAAGACUGACGCUCAGAUGCGAAAGCGUGGGUAGCAAACAGGAUUAGAUACCCUGGUAGUCCACGCCGUAAACGCUGUCUACUUGGAGGUUGAGGUUUAGACUUUGGCUUUCGGCGCUAACGCAUUAAGUAGACCGCCUGGGGAGUACGGCCGCAAGGUUAAAACUCAAAUGAAUUGACGGGGGCCCGCACAAGCGGUGGAGCAUGUGGUUUAAUUCGAUGCAACGCGAAGAACCUUACCUACUCUUGACAUCCAGAGAACUUUCCAGAGAUGGAUUGGUGCCUUCGGGAACUCUGAGACAGGUGCUGCAUGGCUGUCGUCAGCUCGUGUUGUGAAAUGUUGGGUUAAGUCCCGCAACGAGCGCAACCCUUAUCCUUGUUUGCCAGCACGUAAUGGUGGGAACUCCAGGGAGACUGCCGGUGAUAAACCGGAGGAAGGUGGGGACGACGUCAAGUCAUCAUGGCCCUUACGAGUAGGGCUACACACGUGCUACAAUGGCAGAUACAGAGGGCAGCGAAGCUGCGAAGUGGAGCGAAUCCCUUAAAGUCUGUCGUAGUCCGGAUUGGAGUCUGCAACUCGACUCCA
Molecule: ribosomal RNA, 750 nt
Filed under: uncultured Salinivibrio sp.
Lineage: Bacteria; Pseudomonadati; Pseudomonadota; Gammaproteobacteria; Vibrionales; Vibrionaceae
Description: bacterial SSU rRNA
Rfam family: Bacterial small subunit ribosomal RNA
Source: RNAcentral